This is a long non-coding RNA of Lemur catta (Ring-tailed lemur), 652 nucleotides long. RefSeq lists it as uncharacterized. The transcript is spliced from 3 exons. Lineage: Eukaryota; Metazoa; Chordata; Mammalia; Primates; Lemuridae. The record is from RefSeq and is a predicted model, not a curated record.
UUGCGUGAACGUGUGUCAUGGCCCAGUCAGUGCUCCGAGAGAGAACACAAGGGGAGGCCGUGCGGGCCAGGGCUCUGCGUGCAAGACCCGGAGAAGCAAAGUGCAGAUUCCGUUGUCCUGGGUUGGGGACAGCGUCUUCCGUGUCUCCCUGUGCUCUGCGAGGUGACCUGAAUGCUCUGCCGGUCGGGAAGAGGCUGCACCUCCUCCGCUGAAUGCGGGAGGGAGGGAAAGGAAUAAAACCUGAUGCUGCAUUGCUGCGGGCCUGGCCCAGGGGAGGUGACGGCCCUGCCCUUGCUCACGGGGCCCCGAGGCCACCACGGUGGGAGGAAACCAGGCAGGGUCGGCCAGACUGACGAGGUGUCGCAGGAGGUUCCCUGGCUCCUGUGGGUUGCUCUCACGGAACUCUGAAUGCUCCUUGAGCGUGUGGACCAUGUUCUCGUUCACUGCAGUCUAACGCCGCUCCUGGACACGCAGCAGCAGCAACCCGGCUGUUCUUCCCCGCGUAGCCGGUGCACAGUCACCACCCGAGGGGACCCAGUUUACCGCAUCCUCCAGAGUGAAGCCUGAUGACGCCGCAUCUGCAAGCCAAAGACACAAAAACAAAACUCAGUGGUGAUGGCAAAGAGUCGGCUCCACAGCUCAUUUAACAAUA